RNAcentral lists this unclassified non-coding RNA (339 nucleotides) under fungal sp. RNAcentral's name for it is "partial internal transcribed spacer region". The stretch from base 1 to 46 matches the Rfam family "Eukaryotic small subunit ribosomal RNA", at positions 1786 to 1831 of the family's 1831-position model. Lineage: Eukaryota; Fungi. The record is from RNAcentral.
AAGUCGUAACAAGGUUUCCGUAGGUGAACCUGCGGAAGGAUCAUUAACACGUACCUUUGGUACACACCAACCCGAGAACGUAUUACUCCCUGUCUAUGCCUUUGGCCGCCCUCGAGACGUGGUAAUGACUCGAGGCCCGCACGGGACAACCUGGCGAAAGCCUUACCGUCCCACGUUGGUAUUCAGGCUGCCCCCCCAUUACUUCGUAAAUCUCUUUUUUACGACUCUCACCCAUGAAGACAUCUCACUGAUUUGUUGCGCCAAGUGAUGCCGAAAGGCCACUCGCAACCACCUUAACAUAACCUAGCACAACUCUUAGCAAUGGAUAUCUAGGUUCUC